GGGAAUGUGGCUCAAGUGGUAGAGCUCUUGCCUUGCAUGCAUGAGGCCCUGGGUUCGAUUCCUCAGCACCA
RNAcentral lists this transfer RNA (71 nucleotides) under Dipodomys ordii (Ord's kangaroo rat). It matches the Rfam family "tRNA". Rfam says of the family: Transfer RNA (tRNA) molecules are approximately 80 nucleotides in length. Their secondary structure includes four short double-helical elements and three loops (D, anti-codon, and T loops). Lineage: Eukaryota; Metazoa; Chordata; Mammalia; Rodentia; Heteromyidae. The record is from Rfam by way of RNAcentral.